AGCAGCCGCGGUAAUUCCAGCUCCAAUAGCGUAUAUUAAAGUUGUUGCAGUUAAAAGGCUCGUAGUUGAAUUUCGGGGUCAGUAGGUCGGUCGUGCCACAGGUAUGUACUGGUCUCACUGAUUCCUCCUUCCUGAUGAACCGUAAUGCCAUUAAUUUGGUGUUGCGGGGAAACUGGACUGUUACUUUGAAAAAUUAGAGUGUUUAAAGCAGGCUAACGCUUGAAUACAUUAGCAUGGAAUAAUGAAAUAGGACGUUCGGUCUUAUUUUGUUGGUUUCUAGGAUUGACGUAAUGAUUAAUAGGGAUAGUUGGGGGCAUUAGUAUUCAAUUGUCAGAGGUGAAAUUCUUGGAUUUAUUGAAGACUAACUACUGCGAAAGCAUUUGCCAAGGAUGUUUUCAUUAAUCAAGAACGAAAGUUAGGGGAUCGAAGACGAUCAGAUACCGUCGUAGUCUUAACCAUAAACUAUGCCGACUAGGGAUCGGAUGAUGUUAAUUUUAUAAUGACUCAUUCGGCGCCUUAA
RNAcentral lists this ribosomal RNA (520 nucleotides) under uncultured Glomus. RNAcentral describes it as "SSU rRNA". It matches the Rfam family "Eukaryotic small subunit ribosomal RNA", at positions 569 to 1091 of the family's 1831-position model. The record is from RNAcentral. Lineage: Eukaryota; Fungi; Glomeromycota; Glomeromycetes; Glomerales; Glomeraceae.